Molecule: ribosomal RNA, 228 nt
Filed under: uncultured bacterium
Lineage: Bacteria
Description: partial 16S ribosomal RNA
Rfam family: Bacterial small subunit ribosomal RNA
Source: RNAcentral
UGGGUGACCUGCCCCCUACUCUGGGAUAAGCUUGGGAAACUGGGUCUAAUACUGGAUAUUCACUUCUCAUCGCAUGGUGGGUGGUGGAAAGUUUUUUCGGCUGGGGAUGGGCCCGCGGCCUAUCAGCUUGUUGGUGGGGUGAUGGCCUACCAAGGCGACGACGGGUAGCCGGCCGGAGAGGGCGUCCGGCCACACUGGGACUGAGACACGGCCCAGACUCCUACGGGA